Molecule: long non-coding RNA, 1355 nt
Organism: Astatotilapia calliptera (eastern happy)
Lineage: Eukaryota; Metazoa; Chordata; Actinopteri; Cichliformes; Cichlidae
Source: Ensembl
GUUAAUACAGAUUUUUACAGAGAGAAAAAAAAUAGUGAGUACUCUCAUAUUCAUUAUAUCAAAGUUAUAUAAAGGUUUAACUUUGCAAAGGUUUAUUUCUCAAACUACCUGUUAGGACAAAACAGUACAUAUGUUUUAGUUGUUUUUGUUUUACUUUGUAUAGCCUUUUGCAGUAAGUGAGAUUUAAUUAGAGAGCCAGAAACUCAGCACAUCACAUGCUCAGCCAAUUUGUCAGUUGCGAUUGAUGCAAAUCAAGACAAGAGCUUCUGGUCCUGAUUACUUACCAGACUAAAAUGUAAUUUUAAAAGGUUUGUGCAACUUAUCACCAUCCAUCGGUCUACAUCCAUUUAUCUCUCAAUAAAUACUAACUGCUGCCUCAUAUCAAUCAAUCUUUUUGUUUUGUGCUUGUUUUUUGUUGUUUCACAAAGUAAAGGAACAUUUUAUUUUGUCAUGAGUGGAGUGAGCUUUUCCAGGGUAAUAGUGCCACUAAAUGGAUUGAUGAGUAUAAAUUUUAUAGAAAUGUUAUGUUAUCUAUACCCAGCUGAGCAUCUAUGGAAGACAUUGGUCCAAUAAAUCAGACAGUGCCUUCUCCCAACACUUAAACAGGACUCCAGUAGAAUUCAGUGGCGCACUAAUGUUUUUCUACUGGCACAUGAUGAUCCAUCCAGAGGUUGGUGGAUGGGAUAGGUAUCAGAUUAGUACUUUGUUCCUAUCCUCUAAGUUCGAGCAUAAUGAAUUGGGAUACAUUAUUUAUGUUUUGUUUUUUCUUUGGGGUUUUUUUUUUUUUUGUUUUUUUUUUUUUGGAAAUGAAAAAAAUAUCCACUAUGAAAAAUGUCUGAACCCUUUUGUGUUGACUGUCAAAUCAAUUUUUAUAGCCUAUAGCACAUUUAAACAACAGUAAAUAGAGGAACAUUUAGAAUUCUGAAAAACCAAAUUUCAAAAUACAUGAAAAACUGAAAUGUGUGUUUGUUUUAUUAAACUCAUUAAAAUGUGUUCAGAAUUUGUCAAUUGAGGAGGCUUUAUCUCAUACAACAUGACACUGUUCUCCACUCCGUAAGCUUUAUAGCUUUAAAUCGUGGCUGUCAAUAUUGGUAUCGGCAGUAGUGGCCCUUUAUUUACUUGAUAUUGCAUCUAAAAAGUGUAGUACUCCACAGCACUACAUUCCGUCACCUCACGAAGAAACUUUGUGUUUUUCCUUUAAUUAAAUUUGAAAAAUUUGAAAAAUCAAUGCUGCAAUUCUUUAUGUGACCACACGGGGUCACUGUUGACAUUAAAAUCUCCUAGGAUACAUGGCCAUUAUUGCCGACUCUUUGCCGUAAAUAAUUCAGAGGACAAAAUCAACUUAAACACUGAAC